RNAcentral lists this ribosomal RNA (674 nucleotides) under uncultured bacterium. RNAcentral describes it as "bacterial SSU rRNA". It matches the Rfam family "Bacterial small subunit ribosomal RNA", at positions 827 to 1502 of the family's 1533-position model. The record is from RNAcentral.
GAUCCUUGAGAUCUUAGUGGCGCAGCUAACGCACUAAGUAGACCGCCUGGGGAGUACGGUCGCAAGAUUAAAACUCAAAUGAAUUGACGGGGGCCCGCACAAGCGGUGGAGCAUGUGGUUUAAUUCGAAGCAACGCGAAGAACCUUACCUACUCUUGACAUCCUGAGAACUCGCUAGAGAUAGCUUGGUGCCUUCGGGAACUCAGAGACAGGUGCUGCAUGGCUGUCGUCAGCUCGUGUUGUGAAAUGUUGGGUUAAGUCCCGUAACGAGCGCAACCCUUGCCCUUAGUUGCCAUCAUUUAGUUGGGGACUCUAAGGGGACUGCCGGUGACAAACCGGAGGAAGGCGGGGACGACGUCAAGUCAUCAUGGCCCUUACGAGUAGGGCUACACACGUGCUACAAUGGCCAGUACAAACGGUUGCAAUCCCGCGAGGGGGAGCUAAUCUGAGAAAGCUGGUCGUAGUCCGGAUCGGAGUCUGCAACUCGACUCCGUGAAGUCGGAAUCGCUAGUAAUCGUGAAUCAGAAUGUCACGGUGAAUACGUUCCCGGGCCUUGUACACACCGCCCGUCACACCAUGGGAGUGGGUUGCUCCAGAAGUAGAUAGCUUAACCUUCGGGAGGGCGUUUACCACGGAGUGAUUCAUGACUGGGGUGAAGUCGUAACAAGGUAGCCG